AGAUUGAACGCUGGCGGCAUGCCUUACACAUGCAAGUCAACGGAUUUUGGGGCUUGCUCCAAAGUUAGUGGCGAACGGGUGUGUAAUGCAUCGGAACGUGCCCAAUCGUGGGGGAUAACGUAGCGAAAGUUACGCUAAUACCGCAUACGUCCUGAGGGAGAAAGCAGGGGACUCGCAAGAGCCUUGCGCGAAUGGAGCGGCCGAUGCCGGAUUAGCUAGUUGGUGAGGUAAAGGCUCACCAAGGCGACGAUCCGUAGCUGGUCUGAGAGGACGACCAGCCACACUGGGACUGAGACACGGCCCAGACUCCUACGGGAGGCAGCAGUGGGAAUUUUGGACAAUGGGGAAACCUGAUCCAGCCAUGCCGCGUGAGUGAAGAAGGCCUUCGGUUGUAAAGCUCUUUCGGACAGAAAGAAAUCGCACGGCUAAUACUCCGUGUGGAUGACGGUACUAGUAAGAAGAAGCACCGGACUAACUACGUGCCAGCAGCCGUA
Molecule: ribosomal RNA, 494 nt
Filed under: uncultured soil bacterium
Lineage: Bacteria
Description: bacterial SSU rRNA
Rfam family: Bacterial small subunit ribosomal RNA
Source: RNAcentral